ACGGAAGGCAGCAGUGGGGGAUAUUGCACAAUGGGCGAAAGCCUGAUGCAGCAACGCCGCGUGAGGGAAGACGGUUUUCGGAUUGUAAACCUCUGUUUUUGGUGAAGAUAAUGACGGUAGCCAAAGAGGAAGCCACGGCUAACUACGUGCCAGCAGCCGCGGUAAUACGUAGGUGGCAAGCGUUGUCCGGAAUUACUGGGUGUAAAGGGAGCGCAGGCGGGACAGCAAGUUGGAUGUGAAAUACCGCAGCUUAACUGCGGAGCUGCAUCCAAAACUGUAGUUCUUGAGUGGAGUAGAGGCAGGCGGAAUUCCGAGUGUAGCGGUGAAAUGCGUAGAUAUUCGGAGGAACACCAGUGGCGAAGGCGGCCUGCUGGGCUCUAACUGACGCUGAGGCUCGAAAGUGUGGGGAGCAAACAGGAUUAGAUACCCUGGUA
RNAcentral lists this ribosomal RNA (434 nucleotides) under uncultured Oscillospiraceae bacterium. Its description in RNAcentral is "partial 16S ribosomal RNA". It matches the Rfam family "Bacterial small subunit ribosomal RNA", at positions 341 to 792 of the family's 1533-position model. The record is from RNAcentral. Lineage: Bacteria; Bacillati; Bacillota; Clostridia; Eubacteriales; Oscillospiraceae.